Molecule: ribosomal RNA, 398 nt
Filed under: uncultured bacterium
Lineage: Bacteria
Description: bacterial SSU rRNA
Rfam family: Bacterial small subunit ribosomal RNA
Source: RNAcentral
AAUCUUGGACAAUGGGGGCAACCCUGAUCCAGCCAUGCCGCGUGAGCGAUGAAGGCCUUAGGGUUGUAAAGCUCUUUCAGCGGGGAAGAUAAUGACUGUACCCGCAGAAGAAGCCCCGGCUAACUCCGUGCCAGCAGCCGCGGUAAUACGGAGGGGGCUAGCGUUGUUCGGAAUUACUGGGCGUAAAGCGCACGUAGGCGGACCUGCAAGUUGGGGGUGAAAUCCCGGGGCUCAACCCCGGAACUGCCCUCAAAACUGCUGGUCUGGAGGUCGAGAGAGGUGAGUGGAAUUCCGAGUGUAGAGGUGAAAUUCGUAGAUAUUCGGAGGAACACCAGUGGCGAAGGCGGCUCACUGGCUCGAUACUGACGCUGAGGUGCGAAAGCGUGGGGAGCAAACAG